UACGUAGGGGGCAAGCGUUGUCCGGAUUUAUUGGGCGUAAAGAGCGUGUAGGCGGUUUGGUAGGUCCGCUGUGAAAACUCGAGGCUCAACCUCGAGACGCCGGUGGAAACCAUCAGACUAGAGUCCGGAAGAGGAGAGUGGAAUUCCUGGUGUAGCGGUGAAAUGCGCAGAUAUCAGGAGGAACACCGGUGGCGAAGGCGGGUCUCUGGGCCGAUACUGACGCUGAGGAGCGAAAGCGUGGGGAGCAAACAGG
Molecule: ribosomal RNA, 253 nt
Filed under: uncultured bacterium
Lineage: Bacteria
Description: partial 16S ribosomal RNA
Rfam family: Bacterial small subunit ribosomal RNA
Source: RNAcentral